CCUAGACUGAACAUGGACAAGGCGCAGGAGAAACCGAAGGAGAGCUACCGGAGCUGGGGAACCAUCUGUUAAAGGGUUACCUCGGUGGAAGCAAACAAUAUUCUCCAGUUGGAGCAGUUGGACGGUCGACCACUGAAAGCACUGACGCCCUACACUUCUGUGAAGCCCAAUAGACAAAGACCAUCGACUGUCCGAGCCCCCCAGAGGGUAUCCCAUCCACCAGAACCAGUAAGUUUGGAUCGGUCUGAUUCUCUGUGCCCUGAGUUGGAGGGGGACCAGCUUGAGGACCUAGGGGUUCUGACUAACACCCAGACGUGGAUCCACCUGAUGUCCUCCAUUACCAACCCCCCUCCAACUUUUCAUUACAUGAGCUACAGCUACUGUUAUUAUCAUGUUGUCAUUAUCUGCUAAGAAAUGUUUCUUGCUCUAUCAUACUGGGCACAUAAUAUGUGAGAUACACAGAUUAACUAAAAACACUAGCACUGCAAACACUCUGAACAAUGAGAGCAGCAGUGCCUGGACUUUGCAGUCUCCCUCUUCAAGUCCCCCUUCCGAGACUGGCUGCCUGUUGAGAACAAGUGACAGGCAGGACCUCCCAAACGUAGUAACGUUUAAGACAUUUAAUGUCUGGAUUUAAUGUUGUAACGGUUAACAAGGUACUCAAAAGUAGUUUGAAGUAAUGUUUUCAUUUUAUUAGCUAAACAAAACUAGUUUAAACAGUGAAAUUGUGGUGUAAAUCAGCCUUGUUUGCAUAGCGAUGAUGAAAAUAAUGUAAUUUAGGCUGUACUGAUCUCCAAAUUUCUAAUCAUUAGGUCAUCACACCGUUGUAUUGCAACGGACGCUAAUAGUUGAUCGAAUCCCAUUGUGACGCAGAGGGGGACACUAUUUGGCCGGGGGACAUUAUUUGGCAUGACAUGCCCUUUGGUUACCAUAACGCCCCUGUGGUCUGUUCAAUGUCCACUAGAGGCCCCGAGUCUUACAACCACUGCUCCUAAACCCCAGUCCAGCUAGGGCAGGUGGCUGGACUAUACUGAAGACUCCCUGCAGGAGAGACUCAUUCACUCACACAGCAACUGGCAAUCUGUGGGACCCUGCUCCAGUUGCGCACCACGACGUAGUGAUAUUUGGGUGUCCGAAAUGCAAUGAGUCAGGAGUCAGUCAGGGUUACGGCUGAUCCAGGGCAGUUUACUGUUACAUGUACAGAGGUGUUGGGCAUUAACUGUGCCAAUUGAUGAGGGCUAAUAAAAGUCCCUAUGGGUUUUACUAUGA
Molecule: long non-coding RNA, 1269 nt
Organism: Coregonus clupeaformis (lake whitefish)
Lineage: Eukaryota; Metazoa; Chordata; Actinopteri; Salmoniformes; Salmonidae
Exons: 4
Source: RefSeq, a predicted model, not a curated record